UGGGGAAUAUUGCACAAUGGAGGGAACUCUGAUGCAGCGACGCCGCGUGAACGAAGAAGGCUUUCGAGUCGUAAAGUUCUUUUAUAUGGGAAGAUAAUGACGGUACCAUAAGAAAAAGCCCCGGCUAACUACGUGCCAGCAGCCGCGGUAAUAUGUAGGGGGCUAGCGUUGUCCGGAAUCACUGGGCGUAAAGGGUUCGCAGGCGGAAAUGCAAGUCAGGUGUAAAAGGCAGUAGCUUAACUACUGUAAGCAUUUGAAACUGCAUAUCUUGAGAAGAGUAGAGGUAAGUGGAAUUUUUAGUGUAGCGGUGAAAUGCGUAGAUAUUAAAAAGAAUACCGGUGGCGAAGGCGACUUACUGGGCUCAUUCUGACGCUGAGGAACGAAAGCGUGGGUAGCAAGCAGG
Molecule: ribosomal RNA, 403 nt
Filed under: Verrucomicrobiota bacterium
Lineage: Bacteria; Pseudomonadati; Verrucomicrobiota
Description: Verrucomicrobia bacterium partial 16S ribosomal RNA
Rfam family: Bacterial small subunit ribosomal RNA
Source: RNAcentral